CAGACGUGUUAUUCAGGGAGACUCUUCUUGUUCCCAAUACUCCCUGGUUGGGGAACUACUUAACUACAGAUGGUAAGUCACAACUGUUCCACGCAGAGGGGAGAGCUAGGCUCCGGGCUACAAAAUGUUGAAAACCACAGCACAGAAGCCACAUACAACACCCAACCGCCAGCUUGCCACUAAGAUAGUAGAGAAAACAGAAAGGAGGCAGAUGUGGUCGCUGCCCAGUUGGCAUCGGUGGCAGGAACAAGGCUUCAAAUGAAAUUCUUCUCUGCGUGUGACUCUGAAGAAAGAGGAGCCAGGGCUUUCUAGAAUGCUAAUGGCACAUCAAACUCCAAAUGGGACGUCAAGACCAGCCGCAGUCUUUCCGUCUGUUUCUGACGCCAUCAUCACAAUGAAGGUUCUGCUGUCCGGUUAAGGCUGGCCAUCUUGGUGUUGCCCCAAGUGAUGGAAAACUGCCCCCUCUCUCUGUCUCUAUCUCUUCAAAGCAAAGAGAGACAGGAUGGUCAGAGGAAAUAUACUUAUGUUUGGUUGCUCUAAUAAUUAAGCAACACAGGAGCAAGUGAGCAGAGGGAGAACCAACGACAGAGACAAUUUUAGGAACUGUUUGAGGAAUAUGCUUCCUCUUGCAAAUAUUUGGACUUCAGUCUUCAGCUUUGGGUUUUUUUUUUAAGUUUAUUUGUUUAUUUUGAGGUGGGGGAGGGGCAGAGGGGCAGGGAAAGAGAAUCCCAAGCAGACUUUGAGCUCAGAGUCCCAUGAGAGCUGGAUCCCCGGAACUGUGAGAUCACGACUCGACACAAAAUCAAGAGUCAGAUGCUUAACCCACUGAGCCACCCAGGCACCCUCAGCCUUGGGAUCUAGAGCCUUGAUUUUGGUAUAUAGGGUUUCUUUCCAGUUAUCUCAAGGGUGGGAAGGGUUAUAACCUCCUUAAAGAUAACAUGUAUUCGCAAUUCACCCAAUUCUUCAAAUAAAGGUAAGCUUCAAGGAAGGCUUGCUGUUCGUUCGUUUCUGGUAUAUGCAAAAA
Lynx canadensis (Canada lynx) is the source of this 1024-nucleotide long non-coding RNA. RefSeq lists it as uncharacterized. Lineage: Eukaryota; Metazoa; Chordata; Mammalia; Carnivora; Felidae. The transcript has 3 exons. The record is from RefSeq and is a predicted model, not a curated record.